UCCGCAGGGCAUGCCUGUUUGAGCGUCGGUUCAAUCUUUGAACUGGGCUUACGAAGAGUUUGUCUGAAAUUGAAGCUCCCCAGCGCUACUACGUAUCCGCAGGGAAUAAUCAAUUCGACCUCAAAUCAGGUAGGAGUACCCGCUGAACUUAAGCAUAUCAAUAAGCGGAGGAAAAGAAACCAACCGGGAUUGCCUCAGUAGCGGCGAGUGAAGCGGCAAAAGCUCCACUUUGAAAGCGUUUCGACGCGUUGUAGUGCGGUUCAGUCUUUGAGUGACGGAUGACUAAGUCCCCUGGAACGGGGUGCCAUAGAGGGUGAGAGCCCCGUGAGUUGUCUUUUUAGCUCUUUAAGUCUUUACCAAAGAGUCGAGUUGUUUGGGAAUGCAGCUCUAAGUGGGUGGUAAAUUCCAUCUAAGGCUAAAUACCGGCGAGAGACCGAUAGCGAACAAGUACAGUGAUGGAAAGAUGAAAAGCACUUUGAAAAGAGAGUGAAACAGUACGUGAAAUUGUUGAAAGGGAAGGGUAUUUGGCCCGACAUGGGUUCUGUGCACCGUUGCCUCUUGUAGGCGGCGCUCUGCUGGAGCCUGGGCCAGCAUCAGUUUUCCGGCGAGGAUAAGAAGUUUUGAACCACAUUGUGGGGAUGAGUUUGAUGCUCGCAUGGGGGACUGAGGACUGCCGUUGUAGGAUGCUGGCAUAACGGCCAAAUACCGCCCGUCUUGAAACAUGGACCAAGGAGUCUAACAUCUAUGCAAGUAUUUGGGAGUGAACCCCAUAUGCGCAAUGAAAGUGAACGUAGGUCGGACCUUAGGGGCACGAUCGACCGAUCCCGAUGUUUAUCGGAAGGAUUUGAGUAAGAGCAUAGCUGUUGGGACCCGAAAGAUGGUGAACUAUGCCUGAAU
Molecule: ribosomal RNA, 897 nt
Filed under: Saturnispora diversa
Lineage: Eukaryota; Fungi; Ascomycota; Pichiomycetes; Pichiales; Pichiaceae
Description: LSU rRNA
Rfam family: Eukaryotic large subunit ribosomal RNA (bases 116-897)
Source: RNAcentral